UCAAAGCACACGUUACUGCUCCAUUGAGUAU
This 31-nucleotide non-coding RNA is filed under the name Rattus norvegicus (Norway rat). The record is from RNAcentral. Lineage: Eukaryota; Metazoa; Chordata; Mammalia; Rodentia; Muridae.